Molecule: RNA transcript, 2319 nt
Organism: Cavia porcellus (domestic guinea pig)
Lineage: Eukaryota; Metazoa; Chordata; Mammalia; Rodentia; Caviidae
Gene: Snrnp27
Gene name: small nuclear ribonucleoprotein U4/U6.U5 subunit 27
Exons: 7
Source: RefSeq, a predicted model, not a curated record
AGGGUCCGGAACCCUAGCGUCUUGUCUCGAUGUUUUCCAGUCGGAAGUUAAAGCUGAGUCCUUGGCUCCCCCGGAUGUUGUUACAGAGCCGUUUCCGGGGCGGUGUGCGGAGAAGUAGGACUCAUAAUGGGUCGCAGUCGCAGCCGAUCCCCGCGGAGAGAACGUAGGCGAUCGCGGUCUACUUCCCGGGAGAGAGAGCGCCGGCGCCGGGAAAGGUCCCGAUCCCGGGAGAGAGAUCGCAGGAGAAGCCGCUCCAGGUCCCCGCACAGGCGCCGCUCUAGAUCUCCAAGACGACAUAGAUCCACAUCGCCUUCCCCUUCACGAUUGAAAGAAAGAAGAGAUGAGGAGAAGAAGGAAACAAAAGAAACAAAGAGCAAAGAACGUCAGAUUACUGAGGAAGACUUAGAAGGCAAAACAGAGGAAGAAAUAGAAAUGAUGAAGUUAAUGGGAUUUGCAUCUUUUGACUCCACAAAAGGAAAAAAGGUAGAUGGUUCUGUAAAUGCCUAUGCCAUAAAUGUAUCUCAGAAGAGGAAGUACAGGCAAUACAUGAAUAGAAAAGGUGGAUUCAACAGACCUUUGGAUUUUAUUGCAUGAGAAGUAAAAUAUUGAAGAAUGAUUUUUUCCCCCUCAUCUUGUCGGAGAGUGGAUUUUGUAUUUUGUAUUUAAUAUGCAUCAAAAACAGGAUCUCAGUUCUUCUUUCAUGUAAACCACGUGGCGCCAGCAGGAUCCCUCGACCCACCGCCCCGACCGUUCGCCAGGCUGCGCUCCCGCUGAGGGACUUGCGGCAGAGCCCGGGACCGCCGGAGUCCCUGGAAGCGCGGAGCCUCCUCCGCUGCGGCUCCGAACCUGAGCUAAGCAGAGCGCCCAGUGACGCAAGGUGCCAUCCUUCCAUUCGAGGGACGCUUGGCAAGUCCCUGAAGUUUUCCCGGAAGACAGGGCGACAACAGGUCUGAGGCGAACCGGGAGGGGUCGGGUGGAGCCCGACUCCGCAGCGGCCGGUGAAUCAGCACCGGCCAACCCCACUAGCCAAUGCCGAACUUGAAGAGGAGUAAUCGGGCAGCUGACCACCAGCCACUCGGGGCCCGCGGGGCCUGGCGAAAGGUGAUAUCAUUGCUGCUGGGAGUUUUCCAAGGUAUUCACCAAUGAGAGCCAGGCGAAGUGGCUUGCUUUCUACAGCUCUUGGCCAAUACUAACAAAGCAAAAAGGCUGUUCCUAUAGAACCAAUGGAAAACAGGGAAGGAGCAGGAGGCGGAGUUGCGAAUCCUGUCACCAAUUGGAAAAAAGGGGUGGAGCUAGGGCCUUGUCAACCGCGGCCAACCAACGAAAGGAGCGGACUUUGAGGGGCGGGGCCUCUGUACCCCCUACCAAUCGCACAAAGCCAGGGGUGGGGCAUUCUUUCAGGUGCCCAAUGAGGAACGCAGCCGAAGCGGGCCUGUCAAGAGAAGGGGCUAGGGGCGGGGGGAUGGUGAGUCGGGAUAAACACUCCGCGGCGGUGGUGGCUGCUCUGCCCCGGGUUCUGUCACGGUGUCGGCGGUGCCCAGCUCACUGACCUCUUUCCUCCCGACAAGCGUGGUUGCCCAAGAGGCUCCUUCAACGCAGCUCAGCGGGGUCCACCCCGAGGUGCGGGUGUCCGGCGGCGAGCCUGUGGACAGUGGGGGUUGGUCCCGUGGCUCCAGCCCCCGUGCAGAAUGGCGACGGCGGUUCGGAUGAACAUCCAGAUGCUGCUGGAGGCGGCCGACUAUCUGGAGCGGCGGGAGAGAGGUGCACGGGCUUGGAGAGGGGUCUGGCCCGGGCUGAGGGUCCUAGGGAACCAAAUCCGGGGAUCGUGGCGCCCAGCCUCUCCGGGGUGGUUGGAGACGCCAGAAACGCGACCGCGAGCGCUCCCAACCCCUCCACUGUCCCCACGCGCGCUCUGAAAGGAAGGCCACCGCUGCCCACAGCAGUGAGCGGGCUGCUGCCCGGGUCCUGCACCUCCUCCCCACCCCCUCCGAGUGGGUACGGGGCCCUCGCAGCCAGUCGCCUUUGGCUUUCCUCACCUGCGCGGUUUGCCUGCCUGCUCCCCCGCGGCUGCCGCCUAGUCCCCGGGGCGAGGAGCAGUGCCUCCCCCGGCCCGGUCCGCGGUUGUGCCCCGCACCUUCUCCCUAGGCUAGUCCCGCUUAACCCGCACCAACCUGCUGGACGUUAGCAAUGGGAAACCCGGGCUUGGAGCUUAGCCACUUGCUGUGUCUUUCUCAACAAUGAGCAGCUGGAAUCUUCUUUACACCUGCCCGGAGCAGGGGGUGGUCACGCAAUUUAAAAAUAUAUAUAUUGUUCUCAGAA